Molecule: ribosomal RNA, 473 nt
Filed under: uncultured bacterium
Lineage: Bacteria
Description: bacterial SSU rRNA
Rfam family: Bacterial small subunit ribosomal RNA
Source: RNAcentral
AGAGUUUGAUCCUGGCUCAGAUUGGUUUGAUCCUGGCUCAGAGUGAACGCUGGCGGCAGGCCUAACACAUGCAAGUCGAACGGCAGCGGGUAGGAAGCUUGCUUCCUAUGCCGGCGAGUGGCGGACGGGUGAGGAACACAUCGGAAUCUACUCCGUCGUGGGGGAUAACGUAGGGAAACUUACGCUAAUACCGCAUACGACCUAAGGGUGAAAGUGGGGGACCGCAAGGCCUCACGCGAUGGAAUGAGCCGAUGUCCGAUUAGCUAGUUGGCGGGGUAAAGGCCCACCAAGGCGACGAUCGGUAGCUGGUCUGAGAGGAUGAUCAGCCACACUGGGACAUGAGACACGGCCCAGACUCCUACGGGAGGCAGCAGUGGGGAAUAUUGGACAAUGGGCGAAAGCCUGAUCCAGCCAUGCCGCGUGGGUGAAGAAGGCCUUCGGGUUGUAAAGCCCUUUUGUUGGGGAAGAAAUCC